RNAcentral lists this transfer RNA (73 nucleotides) under Bos taurus (domestic cattle). It matches the Rfam family "tRNA". Rfam says of the family: Transfer RNA (tRNA) molecules are approximately 80 nucleotides in length. Their secondary structure includes four short double-helical elements and three loops (D, anti-codon, and T loops). The record is from Rfam by way of RNAcentral. RNAcentral also lists the same sequence under 2 other names. Lineage: Eukaryota; Metazoa; Chordata; Mammalia; Artiodactyla; Bovidae.
UCUCUGGUGAUCCAGUGUUUAAGACUCUGUGCUUCCAACACAGCGGGUGCAGGUUCAAUCCCUGGUCGGGGAA